Molecule: ribosomal RNA, 491 nt
Filed under: uncultured bacterium
Lineage: Bacteria
Description: partial 16S ribosomal RNA
Rfam family: Bacterial small subunit ribosomal RNA
Source: RNAcentral
AGUGAACGCUGGCGGUAGGCCUAACACAUGCGGUCGAACGGCAGCACAGUAAGAGCUUGCUCUUACGGGUGGCGAGUGGCGGACGGGUGAGGAAUACAUCGGAAUCUACUUUUUCGUGGGGGAUAACGUAGGGAAACUUACGCUAAUACCGCAUACGACCUACGGGUGAAAGCAGGGGAUCUUCGGACCUUGCGCGAUUGAAUGAGCCGAUGUCGGAUUAGCUAGUUGGCGGGGUAAAGGCCCACCAAGGCGACGAUCCGUAGCUGGUCUGAGAGGAUGAUCAGCCACACUGGAACUGAGACACGGUCCAGACUCCUACGGGAGGCAGCAGUGGGGAAUAUUGGACAAUGGGCGCAAGCCUGAUCCAGCCAUACCGCGUGGGUGAAGAAGGCCUUCGGGUUGUAAAGCCCUUUUGUUGGGAAAGAAAAGCAGCAGGUUAAUACCCCGCUGUUCUGACGGUACCCAAGGAAUAAGCACCGGCUAACUUCGUG